GACGAACGCUGGCGGCGUGCCUAAUACAUGCAAGUAGAACGCUGAAGAGAGGAGCUUGCUCUUCUUGGAUGAGUUGCGAACGGGUGAGUAACGCGUAGGUAACCUGCCUUGUAGCGGGGGAUAACUAUUGGAAACGAUAGCUAAUACCGCAUAACAAUGGAUGACACAUGUCAUUUAUUUGAAAGGGGCAAUUGCUCCACUACAAGAUGGACCUGCGUUGUAUUAGCUAGUAGGUGAGGUAAUGGCUCACCUAGGCGACGAUACAUAGCCGACCUGAGAGGGUGAUCGGCCAAACUGGGACUGAGACACGGCCCAGACUCCUACGGGAGGCAGCAGUAGGGAAUCUUCGGCAAUGGGGGCAACCCUGAACGAGCAACGCCGCGUGAGUGAAGAAGGUUUUCGGAUCGUAAAGCUCUGUUGUAAGUCAAGAACGGGUGUGAGAGUGGAAAGUUCACACUGUGACGGUAGCUUAACAGAAAGGGACGGCUAACUACGUG
RNAcentral lists this ribosomal RNA (497 nucleotides) under uncultured bacterium. RNAcentral describes it as "partial 16S ribosomal RNA". It matches the Rfam family "Bacterial small subunit ribosomal RNA", at positions 28 to 507 of the family's 1533-position model. The record is from RNAcentral.